UACAGCCGAGUCAUCUUUAAGGAUGAGAUGGUCUGCCUCCAGAAUUUGCCUAGCAUGCAAAAUCCCAGCCUAAGCAGCUUGCACCUCUGCUUCAAAAACUGGGAAUGCAAAGAGAUGAUUUCCCAAGCAGCAAUCAACCUAGAGUCGGAACUACGUAUCAUGAAUACAGCAUCAUCUUGUCAAUGUCGUAUGCUGCCAUUGAAGUUGACCUUCAAAUAUCUCGGAGGAGCAGGCUCCUAAGUGAUGAAUGUCCAUCAGAUCGCUACAUGAGCAAGAUGAAAGUCUCAAAUUUUCGAACACCUGGAGGUCACAUCCAUUAUCUCCAUAAUCAACAUACAGGCUUACUCCACAAUAAGCCUCGCUAAGGUUCUUUAGACUCAAACAUUAAAUUAUUCUUGACAAGCCAAAUGUGAUAGGCUAUAUAUGCCGCCCAAGAAUCUCCCACUGGGAUCCGCUCAUUCAGUGCUCCUCGUACAUACUCUAGGGAUGCUUGAAUACGAAUAAUAGCCUGGAUGACUUGCUGAUGCAACUCUAUGAAAUUCCAGACUUAUCUAGCUCUUGGACACAGAAAUAAGAUGUGCUUUACUGUCUCAUCCUCUAGACCACAGCACGGAAAGAUCGGUUGGAUAUCCAUAUCUCGAUUUUUCAGAAUGGACUUCAUCAAAAGCCGGCUCCAGAUCACCUUUCCAAGAAAGAGAUACACUCGUAGAUGCACCUUCAUCCACCAAAUUCACCUAGUGUCCAUCUAUCUUGUCAGCCCCC
This 762-nucleotide long non-coding RNA is filed under the name Elaeis guineensis (African oil palm). RNAcentral's name for it is "long non-coding RNA (EGUI_LNC011533)". The record is from RNAcentral. Lineage: Eukaryota; Viridiplantae; Streptophyta; Magnoliopsida; Arecales; Arecaceae.